RNAcentral lists this ribosomal RNA (191 nucleotides) under uncultured Chloroflexota bacterium. RNAcentral describes it as "uncultured Chloroflexi bacterium partial 16S ribosomal RNA". It matches the Rfam family "Bacterial small subunit ribosomal RNA", at positions 1192 to 1382 of the family's 1533-position model. Lineage: Bacteria; Bacillati; Chloroflexota. The record is from RNAcentral.
CGCAUGGCCUUUAUACCCUGGGCGACACACACGCUACAAUGGGUGGUACAGUAGGUAGCGAAGGAGCGAUCCGGAGCAAAAUCCUUAAAACCAUCCUCAGUACGGAUUGCAGGCUGAAACCCGCCUGCAUGAAGCCGGAGUUGCUAGUAACCGCAUAUCAGCAUGGUGCGGUGAAUACGUUCUCGGGCCUU